This 253-nucleotide ribosomal RNA is filed under the name uncultured bacterium. Its description in RNAcentral is "partial 16S ribosomal RNA". It matches the Rfam family "Bacterial small subunit ribosomal RNA", at positions 524 to 776 of the family's 1533-position model. The record is from RNAcentral.
UACAGAGGGUGCGAGCGUUAAUCGGAAUUACUGGGCGUAAAGCGUGCGUAGACGGUUAUUUAAGUCGGGUGUGAAAGCCCCGGGCUCAACCUGGGAACUGCAUUCGAUACUGGACGGCUAGAGUAUGAAAGAGGGAGGUAGAAUUCCACGUGUAGCGGUGAAAUGCGUAGAUAUGUGGAGGAAUACCGGUGGCGAAGGCGGCCUCCUGGUUCAAUACUGACGCUGAGGUGCGAAAGCGUGGGGAGCAAACAGG